GAUACAGCAGGUGGCGGUGUGCAGCUUGUCCGAGCCGCCAGUGAAAACAGAGAAGAAGAAAAAGACAGCGAGAAACCGUAGAAGAAGACAGAACACCUCCAGGCAAAACACAAACGCAUGGCUGGGAAUCACUCACGCUUCAGUCAGAGAGUGCCGUCAUGACGAGGUGGGCCAGAGCCAAUAACGUCCAUAAACACAAGCCAGCUGAGGCCACCCCAUGGAGUCAGCUGAGAGGAGGAAGAGGAAGAGGAGGGGGAGGAGGGCCUCAGAGGGACCAGCUGAGAGGGACUCAGCCUGGUGGAUCAGCUGUGAAAAAACCCAACCGACCCAAGAAGGAGUACCUCAACGAGGACGUGAAUGGCUUCAUGGAGUAUCUGCAGCACAGCGGACAGCCUCUGCCCAGAGGAGAUAAAGGAGGGACGGAGGGGGAGCGGGAGCUCAGGGAGGAGGUGGAAACGGCCCUGAAAAAAGACAGAAGAAGAGAGGACAGGAGGGUGAAGAGGCAGAACGACAAGAAGAACAAAAUGCUGUGUUUUAACUGCAGGAAGCCCGGUCACGGUUUGGCUGACUGCCCGGAGGCGGACAGAGACGAGGAGAUGGGCCGAGGCAUCUGUUACCGCUGCGGCUCCACCGAACACGAAAUCCAGAAAUGUCGAGCCAAAGUGGACCCUGCUCUGGGUGAACACCCAUUUGCUAAGUGCUUCAUCUGCGGUCAGACUGGACACUUGUCGCGGGGCUGCCCUGAUAAUCCCAAAGGACUUUAUGCACAAGGAGGCUCCUGUCGUGUUUGUGGUUCAGUGGAACAUUUUCAGAAGGACUGUCCAGAGCACCAGGCUGCAAGUGAGUCUCUCCUGUCUCCAUCUUUAAACUGAUUCCUCUGGGUUUCCUGCACGGUUUUACGGAUCAAAUCACUGUGACGUCACACUAACAACGACAGUCACUUCGGCUCACACAGUGACAGUUCCCUGGUUGUCCAACAACAUGAGUGCAGACUAUGAGGAAGUCCAUGUCCCAGUGAAGAAAGCCAAACCCAAACAGACCAAAGUGGUGAAGUUCUGAUCUGCAGAGAUUCUCUACAGCUGAUUGAUCACUGGGACUCUGCUCAGGAGCUUCUCUCUUUCUGGACUCUGAUAAAUGGACUAAUUAUCUGCUGACAUGCAGUGAAAAUGUGCCUCAGACACAUUCUGACUCUCUUUGUGUAUAUUUGAAAUCCUUUUAAUAAAAACAAGUAUCGUAUA
Epinephelus lanceolatus (giant grouper) is the source of this 1238-nucleotide non-coding RNA. NCBI's taxonomy places the organism in Eukaryota, Metazoa, Chordata, Actinopteri, Perciformes, Serranidae. The record is from RefSeq and is a predicted model, not a curated record.